AGACCCGAAACCCGGUGAUCUAGCCAUGGGCAGGUUGAAGGUUGGGUAACACUAACUGGAGGACCGAACCGACUAAUGUUGAAAAAUUAGCGGAUGACCUGUGGCUGGGGGUGAAAGGCCAAUCAAACCGGGAGAUAGCUGGUUCUCCCCGAAAGCUAUUUAGGUAGCGCCUCGUGAACUCAUCUCCGGGGGUAGAGCACUGUUUCGGCUAGGGGGCCAUCCCGGCUUACCAACCCGAUGCAAACUGCGAAUACCGGAGAAUGUUAUCACGGGAGACACACGGCGGGUGCUAACGUCCGUCGUGAAGAGGGAAACAACCCAGACCGCCAGCUAAGGUCCCAAAGUCAUGGUUAAGUGGGAAACGAUGUGGGAAGGCCCAGACAGCCAGGAUGUUGGCUUAGAAGCAGCCAUCAUUUAAAGAAAGCGUAAUAGCUCACUGGUCGAGUCGGCCUGCGCGGAAGAUGUAACGGGGCUAAACCAUGCACCGAAGCUGCGGCAGCGAACGUAUCACCCAAGACAACUUUGCGGAGUUGACGAUUGACGGAGCGAAGCGACGUCAAAGCGUUCAUUAAAGUCGAGUUGGCUUAGGGAUACGUUCGUUGGGUAGGGGAGCGUUCUGUAAGCCAGUGAAGGUGUGUCGUGAGGCAUGCUGGAGGUAUCAGAAGUGCGAAUGCUGACAUAAGUAACGAUAAAGCGGGUGAAAAGCCCGCUCGCCGGAAGACCAAGGGUUCCUGUCCAACGUUAAUCGGGGCAGGGUGAGUCGACCCCUAAGGCGAGGCCGAAAGGCGUAGUCGAUGGGAAACGGGUUAAUAUUCCCGUACUUGGUGUUACUGCGAAGGGGGGACGGAGAAGGCUAUGUUGGCCGGGCGACGGUUGUCCCGGUUUAAGCGUGUAGGUGUGUGUUCCAGGUAAAUCCGGUUCACUUUAACACUGAGGCGUGACGACGAGGCACUACGGUGCUGAAGUAACAAAUGCCCUGCUUCCAGGAAAAGCCUCUAAGCAUCAGGUAACAUCAAAUCGUACCCCAAACCGACACAGGUGGUCAGGUAGAGAAUACCAAGGCGCUUGAGAGAACUCGGGUGAAGGAACUAGGCAAAAUGGUGCCGUAACUUCGGGAGAAGGCACGCUGACACGUAGGUGAAGUGAUUUACUCAUGGAGCUGAAGUCAGUCGAAGAUACCAGCUGGCUGCAACUGUUUAUUAAAAACACAGCACUGUGCAAACACGAAAGUGGACGUAUACGGUGUGACGCCUGCCCGGUGCCGGAAGGUUAAUUGAUGGGGUCAGCGCAAGCGAAGCUCCUGAUCGAAGCCCCGGUAAACGGCGGCCGUAACUAUAACGGUCCUAAGGUAGCGAAAUUCCUUGUCGGGUAAGUUCCGACCUGCACGAAUGGCGUAAUGAUGGCCAGGCUGUCUCCACCCGAGACUCAGUGAAAUUGAACUCGCUGUGAAGAUGCAGUGUACCCGCGGCAAGACGGAAAGACCCCGUGAACCUUUACUAUAGCUUGACACUGAACAUUGAGCCUUGAUGUGUAGGAUAGGUGGGAGGCUUUGAAGUGUGGACGCCAGUCUGCAUGGAGCCGACCUUGAAAUACCACCCUUUAAUGUUUGAUGUUCUAACGUGGACCCGUAAUCCGGGUUGCGGACAGUGUCUGGUGGGUAGUUUGACUGGGGCGGUCUCCUCCUAAAGAGUAACGGAGGAGCACGAAGGUUGGCUAAUCCUGGUCGGACAUCAGGAGGUUAGUGCAAUGGCAUAAGCCAGCUUGACUGCGAGCGUGACGGCGCGAGCAGGUGCGAAAGCAGGUCAUAGUGAUCCGGUGGUUCUGAAUGGAAGGGCCAUCGCUCAACGGAUAAAAGGUACUCCGGGGAUAACAGGCUGAUACCGCCCAAGAGUUCAUAUCGACGGCGGUGUUUGGCACCUCGAUGUCGGCUCAUCACAUCCUGGGGCUGAAGUAGGUCCCAAGGGUAUGGCUGUUCGCCAUUUAAAGUGGUACGCGAGCUGGGUUUAGAACGUCGUGAGACAGUUCGGUCCCUAUCUGCCGUGGGCGCUGGAGAACUGAGGGGGGCUGCUCCUAGUACGAGAGGACCGGAGUGGACGCAUCACUGGUGUUCGGGUUGUCAUGCCAAUGGCACUGCCCGGUAGCUAAAUGCGGAAGAGAUAAGUGCUGAAAGCAUCUAAGCACGAAACUUGCCCCGA
Molecule: ribosomal RNA, 2195 nt
Filed under: Salmonella enterica subsp. enterica
Lineage: Bacteria; Pseudomonadati; Pseudomonadota; Gammaproteobacteria; Enterobacterales; Enterobacteriaceae
Description: partial 23S ribosomal RNA
Rfam family: Bacterial large subunit ribosomal RNA
Source: RNAcentral